UACAGAGGUCUCAAGCGUUGUUCGGAUUCAUUGGGCGUAAAGGGUGUGUAGGUGGCGCGCUAAGUCGGGUGUGAAAUUUCGGAGCUUAACUCCGAAACUGCAUUCGAUACUGGCGUGCUUGAGGACUGGAGAGGAGACUGGAAUUCAUGGUGUAGCAGUGAAAUGCGUAGAGAUCAUGAGGAAGACCAGUGGCGAAGGCGGGUCUCAGGACAGUUCCUGACACUGAGACACGAAGGCCAGGGGAGCAAACGGG
RNAcentral lists this ribosomal RNA (253 nucleotides) under uncultured bacterium. Its description in RNAcentral is "partial 16S ribosomal RNA". It matches the Rfam family "Bacterial small subunit ribosomal RNA", at positions 524 to 776 of the family's 1533-position model. The record is from RNAcentral.